GGUGGGUGGCUGGGUGCUGAUAUUUCGGAUGCUUGUUAGACAAAUUCAAGCAAGAGGAAAAAUUAGUGAUGAUGUUCGAUCUGAUUCAGAAGAUAAAGAUAGCCAUGAAGAUUGAGAUGGAAAGCAAGACCAUAAUGUAAUCUUAAGGCAAAGAUGAAUUGUCUUAGCUUCGAAAUUCUUA
Molecule: non-coding RNA, 181 nt
Organism: Arachis ipaensis
Lineage: Eukaryota; Viridiplantae; Streptophyta; Magnoliopsida; Fabales; Fabaceae
Source: RefSeq, a predicted model, not a curated record